This 647-nucleotide ribosomal RNA is filed under the name uncultured bacterium. Its description in RNAcentral is "bacterial SSU rRNA". It matches the Rfam family "Bacterial small subunit ribosomal RNA", at positions 8 to 668 of the family's 1533-position model. The record is from RNAcentral.
AGAGUUUGAUCCUGGCUCAGAGUGAACGCUGGCGGCGUGCUUAACACAUGCAAGUCGAACGAGAACGGCUCUAGCUUGCUAGAGUGUCAGCUAAGUGGCGCACGGGUGAGUAAUAUAUAGUUAAUCUGCCCCAAAGAAGAGAAUAAUUGUUGGAAACGACUUGUAAUGCUCUAUAUGCCUUUAAGACAUAAGUCUGCAAGGGAAAUAUUUAUAGCUUUGGGAUGAGACUGUACGGUAUCAGUUUGUUGGUGAGGUAAUGGCUCACCAAGACUAUGACGCUUAACUGGUUUGAGAGGAUGAUCAGUCACACUGGAACUGAGACACGGUCCAGACUCCUACGGGAGGCAGCAGUGGGGAAUAUUGCACAAUGGAGGAAACUCUGAUGCAGCAACGCCGCGUGGAGGAUGACACAUUUCGGUGCGUAAACUCCUUUUAUAUGAGAAGAUAAUGACGGUAUCAUAUGAAUAAGCACCGGCUAACUUCGUGCCAGCAGCCGCGGUAAUACGAGGGGUGCAAGCGUUACUCGGAAUCACUGGGCGUAAAGAGCAUGUAGGCUGGUAGUUAAGUUGGAAGUGAAAUCCUAUGGCUCAACCAUAGAACUGCUUCCAAAACUGAUUACCUAGAGUAUGGGAGAGGUAGAUGGAAUU